This 468-nucleotide ribosomal RNA is filed under the name uncultured bacterium. RNAcentral describes it as "partial 16S ribosomal RNA". It matches the Rfam family "Bacterial small subunit ribosomal RNA", at positions 28 to 507 of the family's 1533-position model. The record is from RNAcentral.
GACGAACGCUGGCGGCGUGCUUAACACAUGCAAGUCGAACGGAAAGGCCCUGCUUUUGUGGGUUGCUCGAGUGGCGAACGGGUGAGUAACACUUGAGUAACCUGCCCUUGUCUUUGGGAUAACUUCAGUAAACUGGGGCUAAUACCGGAUAGGAGCUCCUGCUGCAUGGUGGGGUUUGGAAAGUUUCGGCGGUUGCGUAUGGACUCGCGGCGUAUCAGCUUGUUGGUGGGGUAGUGGCUUACCAAGGCUUUGACGGGUAGCCGGCCUGAGAGGGUGACCGGCCACAUUGGGACUGAGAUACGGCCGAGACUCCUACGGGAGGAAGCAGUGGGGAAUAUUGCACAAUGGGCGGAAGCCUGAUGCAGCAACGCAGCGUGCGGGAUGACGGCCUUCGGGUUGUAAACCGCUUUCGCCUGUGACGAAGCGUGAGUGACGGUAAUGGGUAAAGAAGCACCGGAUAACUACGUG